AAUAUUGGACAAUGGGGGCAACCCUGAUCCAGCCAUGCCGCGUGUGUGAAGAAGGUCUUCGGAUUGUAAAGCACUUCAAGUUGGGAGGAAGGGCUUUAGGUUAAUACCCUGAAGUUUUGACGUUACCAACAGAAUAAGCACCGGCUAACUCUGUGCCAGCAGCCGCGGUAAUACAGAGGGUGCAAGCGUUUAUCGGGAUUACUGGGCGUAAAGCGCGCGUAGGUGGUUCAGUAAGAUGGGUGUGAAAUCCCCGGGGUUAAACUGGGAACUGCUUUCAUAACCGCUGAGCUAAAGUACGGUAGAGGGUAGUGGAAUUUCCUGUGUAGCGGUGAAAUUCGUAGAUAUAGGAAAGGACACCAGUGGCGAAGGCGACUAACUGGACUGAUACUGGCACUGAGGUGCGAAAGCGUGGGGAGCAAAC
RNAcentral lists this ribosomal RNA (421 nucleotides) under uncultured bacterium. Its description in RNAcentral is "partial 16S ribosomal RNA". It matches the Rfam family "Bacterial small subunit ribosomal RNA", at positions 360 to 773 of the family's 1533-position model. The record is from RNAcentral.